UGGGGGAUGUAUAGUCCUCUUAUGAGGCUAGUUAUGUUUUGAGUAGUAAAGGUAAAAGGUUAUGAAAGAAACAUAACACCAACUACGUUGGAUAAAGUUCUAGAUAGAAUACUGAUUAUGACUAUUUUCUAUCUACAUGUCUUGACCAAAUUACGUGCCAGCAGUCGCGGUAAUACGUAGAAGACUAGUGUUAUUCAUCUUUAAUAGGUUUAAAGGGUACCUAGACGGUAUUAUUAACCCACAACAGGGAAAUAUUUUUACUAGAGUUUUAUAUAAGAAGGGAGUAUUUACGGAGUAGAGUUGAAAUUCUUUGAUACCCUAAGGACUGGUAAUGGCGAAAGCAUCCUUCUAUGUAAAAACUGACGUUAAGGGACGAAGGCUUGGGUAGCGAACAGGAUUAGAUACCCUAGUAGUCCAUGCAGAUAAUGAUGAAUGCCAUAGACUAGAUAUUUUUUAGUUUAUAAAUGAAAGUGUAAGCAUUCCACCUCAAGAGUACUGUGGCAACGCUGGAACUGAAAUCAUUAGACCGUUUCUGAGAACAGUAGUGAAGUAUGUUAUAUAAUUCGAUAGUCCUCGUAAAACCUUACCACAACUUGAAUGGUGUCCAGAGUUAAUGUAAUAUUCUUUGAAAAGCUGCCUAGUUAAUAUUAAUACUCUAUUAUAUUAGGUAGAUCUAAUCAAGAUAUUAUAUUGGGCUAACUCCAUUAUUAUAAUGGGCUGGCUCAUUGAAGGUCAUUAAAUAUUAUACUUCCUCCCCCCUUCUUAGAGGAGGCCACUUCUCGACCGAAGGCGGGAGGCAAGAGGAGUAUAUAAUUACCUUUACUAACAGAGAUGUUACAAGUGUUGCACGGUUGUCUUCAGCUAAUGUCGUGAGAUUUUGGUUAGUUCCAUAAAAUUAGCGUAAACCCCGGUUUUAUUUUUUUAAUUAUUAUGAUAAAGCAGUUCGUCACUAUAUUGAUAUAUGAUAACAGGGAUCAAGACAAAUCAU
Molecule: ribosomal RNA, 988 nt
Filed under: Pseudographis elatina
Lineage: Eukaryota; Fungi; Ascomycota; Leotiomycetes; Triblidiales; Triblidiaceae
Description: SSU rRNA
Rfam family: Bacterial small subunit ribosomal RNA
Source: RNAcentral